UUUUUGGAGAGUUUGAUCCUGGCUCAGGACGAACGCUGGCGGCGUGCCUAAUACAUGCAAGUCGUGCGCACAGAGGAGAGCUUGCUCCCUGAGGUGAGCGGCGGAUGGGUGAGUAACACGUGGG
RNAcentral lists this ribosomal RNA (124 nucleotides) under Sporolactobacillus sp. THM19-2. RNAcentral describes it as "partial 16S ribosomal RNA". It matches the Rfam family "Bacterial small subunit ribosomal RNA", at positions 1 to 121 of the family's 1533-position model. Lineage: Bacteria; Bacillati; Bacillota; Bacilli; Caryophanales; Sporolactobacillaceae. The record is from RNAcentral.